UGUGGUGCGGGGUGUUGGUGGUGGAGACCGGGACGGGAAUGUGGCAGGGAACAGGGACCAUGGAACUGGGGUUCGCCCGUUGCGUUGUGUUGAAGUGUCAUCGGUGUAGGCUUCAAGCUGCGAGCUAGAAAGCGAUUGAGCUGCAUUCCAAGGGCCAGAUGCUGCGUCCAACACGCCCAGGUGUAGCAGCCCUGGCAAGGGCUUUACGCGGGGACGCGCGCCACUUCUGCCAGCGCUGCCGCCAUGACGGCCAUGACCACGAUGCACUCGGUGUAGGAGUCCGGCAGCCGCCCUGAGCUCGGAGGGGCGAGGACCGCCUUGAAGCCGAGGGACCUGCAGCCAAGAGCGAUGUCCGCCGAGGGGCGGAGCAGCGGAGUCGAAGCAGCCAAGCAAGGCAGCGCCAGAAAGGCGAUUGGCGGGGCUGAAGCGGCCGAAGCGGCCGAAUCGAUGUCGAGCCCAGCCAAGCCCAGCGCCCCGCCUUUCCUUAUCUCUUUGACGAGCAGAAGUCGAAGUCGCCAAAGAAGGUGGUGGUGCGGUGCAAAUCGAAUGAACCGCACCACGUCACCGUAUACCUCGGGCCUCUUACUCUAGACGCGUUUUGAGCUCCAGAGUCGCUAAAAAGGACUCAUCGAGCGUGUGACCCCACCAACGAAUUUCCUUUUUCGGAGAACAGUCCAUUGGGGUCAAACGUUCGGUUCGAGUCUCAUUUAGCGACUCUGGAGCUCAACGCCACCUCCACCGGUCUUCUGGCCCACUGUGGAUCGGUUGGUCGACGUCGCGAGGACCGCGAGGCUGCGUGCGAACGGUGGCCGCCUCUCUCGCAUUAAUGGGUCAUCCCAUUCGAAAUGCGAGGGAGAGGCACUGCUCGCGGAAUCUGCCUGCAGGCAUGCCGUGAGGGCAUUCAUGCAUUCCCCGGCGACGGCAUUGCCUCCUUUCUCGAGGGAAUGCCGAUCGCCGGGGACGCAGCGGGCAGUGUGAUUUUCCAAGCUACGAUGAAUAAAGUUAUGUUCGGAACUCGAA
This is a long non-coding RNA of Thrips palmi, 1020 nucleotides long. RefSeq lists it as uncharacterized. The transcript is spliced from 2 exons. The record is from RefSeq and is a predicted model, not a curated record. Lineage: Eukaryota; Metazoa; Arthropoda; Insecta; Thysanoptera; Thripidae.